Molecule: ribosomal RNA, 492 nt
Filed under: uncultured bacterium
Lineage: Bacteria
Description: partial 16S ribosomal RNA
Rfam family: Bacterial small subunit ribosomal RNA
Source: RNAcentral
AGUGAACGCUGGCGGUAGGCCUAACACAUGCAAGUCGAACGGCAGCACAGUAAGAGCUUGCUCUUACGGGUGGCGAGUGGCGGACGGGUGAGGGAUACAUCGGAAUCUACUUUUUCGUGGGGGAUAACGUAGGGAAACUUACGCUAAUACCGCAUACGACCUACGGGUGAAAGCAGUGGAUCUUCGGACCUUGCGCGAUUGAAUGAGCCGAUGUCGGAUUAGCUAGUUGGCGGGGUAAAGGCCCACCAAGGCGACGAUCCGUAGCUGGUCUGAGAGGAUGAUCAGCCAAAGUGGAACGGAGACACGGUCAAGACUCCUACGGGAGGCAGCAGUGGGGAAUAUUGGACAAUGGGCGCAAGCAUGAUCCAGCAAUACCGCGUGGGUGAAGAAGGACUUCGGGUUGUAAAGCCCUUUUGUUGGGAAAGAAAAGCAGCAGGUUAAUACCCCGCUGUUCUGACGGUACCCAAAGAAUAAGCACCGGCUAACUUCGUG